RNAcentral lists this ribosomal RNA (551 nucleotides) under uncultured bacterium. RNAcentral describes it as "bacterial SSU rRNA". It matches the Rfam family "Bacterial small subunit ribosomal RNA", at positions 777 to 1325 of the family's 1533-position model. The record is from RNAcentral.
AAUAGAUACCCUGGUAGUCCACGCCGUAAACGAUGAGUGCUAAGUGUUAGGGGGUUUCCGCCCCUUAGUGCUGCAGCUAACGCAUUAAGCACUCCGCCUGGGGAGUACGGUCGCAAGACUGAAACUCAAAGGAAUUGACGGGGGCCCGCACAAGCGGUGGAGCAUGUGGUUUAAUUCGAAGCAACGCGAAGAACCUUACCAGGUCUUGACAUCCCAUUGACCACUAUGGAGACAUAGUUUUCCCUUCGGGGACAACGGUGACAGGUGGUGCAUGGUUGUCGUCAGCUCGUGUCGUGAGAUGUUGGGUUAAGUCCCGCAACGAGCGCAACCCUUGUUCUUAGUUGCCAUCAUUUAGUUGGGCACUCUAAGGAGACUGCCGGUGACAAACCGGAGGAAGGUGGGGAUGACGUCAAAUCAUCAUGCCCCUUAUGACCUGGGCUACACACGUGCUACAAUGGACGGUACAAACGGUUGCCAACCCGCGAGGGGGAGCUAAUCCGAUAAAACCGUUCUCAGUUCGGAUUGUAGGCUGCAACUCGCCUACAUGAACG